This 484-nucleotide ribosomal RNA is filed under the name uncultured bacterium. RNAcentral's name for it is "partial 16S ribosomal RNA". It matches the Rfam family "Bacterial small subunit ribosomal RNA", at positions 30 to 507 of the family's 1533-position model. The record is from RNAcentral.
AUUGAACGCUGGCGGCAGGCCUAACACAUGCAAGUCGAGCGGAUGAAGGGAGCUUGCUCCUGGAUUCAGCGGCGGACGGGUGAGUAAUGCCUAGGAAUCUGCCUGGUAGUGGGGGAUAACGUCCGGAAACGGGCGCUAAUACCGCAUACGUCCUGAGGGAGAAAGUGGGGGAUCUUCGGACCUCACGCUAUCAGAUGAGCCUAGGUCGGAUUAGAUAGUUGGUAGGGUAAAGGCCUACCAAGGCGACGAUCCGUAACUGGUCUGAGAGGAUGAUAAGUCACACUGGAACUGAGACACGGUCCAGACUACUACGGGAGGCAGCAGUGGGGAAUAUUGGACAAUGGGCGAAAGCCUGAUCCAGCCAUGCCGCGUGUGUGAAGAAGGUCUUCGGAUUGUAAAGCACUUUAAGUUGGGAGGAAGGGCAGUAAGUUAAUACCUUGCUGUUUUGACGUUACCAACAGAAUAAGCACCGGCUAACUUCGUG